GUUGCAGUGGCUCAGUGGUUAAGAUAUCGGGUCACAGAUCAGAAGGUCAUGUGUUCAAAUCCCAGCACCGCCA
Pangasius djambal is the source of this 73-nucleotide non-coding RNA. NCBI's taxonomy places the organism in Eukaryota, Metazoa, Chordata, Actinopteri, Siluriformes, Pangasiidae. The record is from the annotation of a GenBank genome assembly.